RNAcentral lists this ribosomal RNA (253 nucleotides) under uncultured bacterium. RNAcentral describes it as "partial 16S ribosomal RNA". It matches the Rfam family "Bacterial small subunit ribosomal RNA", at positions 524 to 776 of the family's 1533-position model. The record is from RNAcentral.
UACGUAGGGGGCAAGCGUUGUCCGGAUUUAUUGGGCGUAAAGAGCGUGUAGGCGGCUAGAUAGGUCCGUUGUGAAAACUCGAGGCUCAACCUCGAGACGCCGGUGGAAACCAUCUAGCUAGAGUCCGGAAGAGGAGAGUGGAAUUCCUGGUGUAGCGGUGAAAUGCGCAGAUAUCAGGAAGAACACCCGUGGCGAAGGCGGCUCUCUAGUACGGUACUGACGCUGAGACGCGAAAGCGUGGGGAGCGAACAGG